GGAGGAUCACCUGAGCCUAGGAGGUUGAGGCCAAGAUCGUGCCACUGCACUCCAGCCUGGGUGACAAAGGGAGGCCCUGUCUCAAAAAAAAACAAAAAACCUGAAAAACAAAAUCAUAAAACCCUGACAGUCAGUACCUAGAUGGAUAUGGAGAGGAAGACCUAAAACUUUCAUCUUAGAAAUGUUUCAUUUUGGUUUUUCACCAACCUUCCUUUGAUAGGACAAAGCAGAUAGGAGGAGGAAAGGCUGUUCUGUGUCUGAACCCAGUUGGGCUAGUCCCCAAGAGGAGCUGAGAGCCAUGUACUCUAAUGCCUCCUUUUUCUUCCCCCAGCCGAAGUGUGUUGUUACCACUGAUCUCCUGGCUCUGAGAAUUCCUGCAGAGAAGAGCAGGGUGGCAAGGAGAUAGUGAGCAACUCCCAGGAGUUAGCCACACCUGGUGAUUCGGCUGUAUAUAUCUCCUAGGAGCAUGGAGGGAUCCAGAAUCUGGACAGAACCACCUAGAAAUAACUCGGCAGAAUUCUGAAAAUGAGGUCACGCUGGGACUUCCAGUUCCCCAGCCAGAUGGGGUCACAAGGCUGCAGAAAAGUGAAGAGCUUUGGAAUGAAGUUCUCCGGGACUUCAAGGAGAUUCAGAAAACAUCCAGCACAGUGUCUUACUGUCUGCAGGCCCCUCCACCAACCUAAGACCUGAAUUCCUGCUAGGCUAGGAAAGGCCUGCUGCCAAUGUGUGGAAGUUUAGUAGCCAGUCGGAGAAAAGGCCUGCCACUGAAGAACCUGGAGAGUUCGAAUUCCUCUGUGAGCAACUUUAACUUCUGGAGUCAGGUUUAUCAUGGUGCUGGAGGCUCCUUCCUGAGCACCUAACAGUCCCCUGGAAGAAAGAGAUCAGAUAACAGACAAAAUCCUGCUCGGCAGUACCUGAGAUGGCCAAGCAAUUCUUCAGGCUUGGGGCCCAAGUCACUCGUAGCAGCUCUGGGUCAGGGCUAGGUAUGGAUACUGGGCACUGGACUGAGCUCACAGGAUGGCAGAGAUCCCGGGGGUCAAGAAGACAAAGACGUCCAUCUGAGCCAAGGCUGGCAAUGCUGGGCCCAGGGCCCUGGCCCCUGCUCCCAACUUCGGCACACCAUCUCUCUCCACCAGACCCAGGGCCAGGGCUGCGAUUCUCCAAUGGUGCCCACUUCUGGCGGGUGUCAACAAGCCCCAGCCGGCCCGAAGCACAGCAGAAGGCAAAGGUGUCUGCAUCUAGGACCUGCAGGCUACUCAGCUCCUCGCUGUCACUGACAUCUGGAAGACCAAGAGCAAAGGAGACAAGCAGCUGAAGGCAGAAUAAAUCAUAUCUCCCUUCCCACUCAUCUCGCUGUUGUCUGCUCGGCUGGUUGGGUGCUGGUCCCUGGGACUGCCUAAUCCUGCCCCAGCAUGGGAGCCUUUUGAGGCCAGGGCUCACCUCUUAUUCACUGUGUAUCCCGAACACCUGGCGCACAGGGUUGAACUCAGUUUCCAUAGUGGCUGAGUUGGGCUGGGGGGUGAUGCCGGCUGAAGCAGCCAGCAAGGGGCAAAGUACCACAGUACCUGAGGUGUACGUGGUCUUCCGGGAUUCCAGAUCAACGACCUGCAGACUGCGGAGUCUCGCCCCAUGGAGGACUCCAGGUGCCAUCGCGGUGAAGACAGCCACCCUAGGCCAGAGACUCUCCUCUUUCUCAUGCACACCAAUGGUGCUGACAGCUUUAAUGACAUCUAGGGGAAAACGAAAAGAGGCUAAAAUCCAGAACUUUAAUGAAGGUUUGAAACAUGCCAGGCCAGCCGUCUUCCCCUGUACAUUUAGAAGGUCAAGGAAGAAAAGGAGCUGCCGGUUGGCAAGAGAUGAUGUUGACACAUAACCACUCUGACUUAUGUUUACAUUUUUGAAACCAUCAGAAACAUUUCAAUUUCUUUAUUAUUUGUCUUAUAAGCUGUUUUUUGCAAAUGGAAUGAACACGCUGCUGAUGUCACACCUUCAGCGACAAGUAACAGGUACAGAAUUCAUGAACUGAUAUUACUUCUUCAAAAACAUGUUCCAUGACCUCAAGUGACUUGCUAAAGCCUAGCAAGUACAGGUCACGUUACAGAUGUCAUUGUCUUGUAAGGUGGACAAGAAAGUCCACAUCUUUUUUACACUGAAUUGAACAUCCUUGGCUUUGAGUCAAGUUUUGUUUUGGUUCUUUUGUUUUUUUGAGACAGAGUCUCACUCACUCUGUUGCCCAGGCUGGAGUCCAGUGGCACAAUCUCAGCUUACCGUAGCCUCCGCCUCUCAGGUUCAAGCAGUUCUCCUGCCUCAGCCUCCCGAGUAGCUGGAAUUACAGAUGUGCACCCUCAUGCCCAGCUAAUUUUUUUGUAUUUUUAGUAGAGAUGGGGUUUCGCCAUGUUGCUCAGGCUGGGCUCAAACUCCUGGUCAGGCGACCCACCUACCUCGGCCUCCCAAAGUGCUGGGAUUAUAGGCAUGAGCCACUGCACCCAGCCAAGUUUUAGUUUUUAUUUGGUUGUCUCCACCCACUAGGUUAACAGGCAGGUUCUCCUCUCUGUAUUCUACAUCUGAGGCUUCUCUUAAUAUAUGCUUAAUGCUGCCAAAGAGGUGAGCUCACUUGAGCAGCCUUAGCUCUGCCCUUGCCACUGCCCCUGCCUAGGGAGAGUAGUUCUCUGGAUGAACUCAAUUCCAGGAGCAGGUUACAGGAAGCUCUAUUUGGGGCUUGGAUGUCAUGCUGUGGUUGCUAAUUCACCUUGUCUGCAUUAAAGUAGAUACUGCAUUUUAAUUCCCACCUG
Piliocolobus tephrosceles (Ugandan red Colobus) is the source of this 2792-nucleotide RNA transcript. It is a transcript of the gene named putative SCAN domain-containing protein SCAND2P, with no coding region annotated. The record is from RefSeq and is a predicted model, not a curated record. The transcript has 4 exons. NCBI's taxonomy places the organism in Eukaryota, Metazoa, Chordata, Mammalia, Primates, Cercopithecidae.